Molecule: long non-coding RNA, 992 nt
Filed under: Cavia porcellus (domestic guinea pig)
Lineage: Eukaryota; Metazoa; Chordata; Mammalia; Rodentia; Caviidae
Description: lncRNA (ENSCPOG00000030249.1)
Source: RNAcentral
AUGAUCCUGUUCACUUCGAGGGGUCCCCAGUCCACAUCCUUGCCCGGGGCCUCGGCCUGCAGGAGGAGGCGCCCAGUGAGCUCCUGUGUCCCCUGGGGCCGCAGCUGCAUUCCACGCCUGUCCAGCAGCUCCUUGAAGAGGCCAGCAGGGCCCCUCACCCUCCCAGGUGACCACACUGGGACAAGAGCUGAGCAUGGGAGGGAGCCCUGGAGGACCCCAGCACCCAACAGAGGUAGCAGGAGACUAUGGGUGGGGCCAGGGCAGCCCGAAGACAGCCCUCACUCUCUCUCCUCUUUCUACCCCGCCCGCUGGAGUCACCCUGAGGCUGAAGAUCCAGGAGAAGCUGGCCAGGAUUGGGGAGAUGCUACCAACUGAGAACUGCAUCACCCCGGGGUCCUGACCCCUGUGCUACUACUCACCCCACUCCUUGCCACCCCGUUCCUGCCAAUCCCACUCCGUCUUCCUCCCUUGUGGCUGAAACUGGGCCCCCCAGCACAUUCUUGAAUGAGUGUUAGGGGUGCCAUCUGCAAUGCCCACCUGGUCUACCCUAGACGCUGCUGAGGGGAGCAGAAGAGCUGGGCGCCCUGGAGGCCUAUGUGGCUCCAGGUGACCCAGCAGAGUAUUCUUUGCCUGGCCUGGCAGUGACACUGUCUGAACCCUCAGAGGAAGUCAGAGUUGUCAUCUGCAUGGGAUCACAUCAGUGUGUAGGUGUGGACUCAGGCCACCCUUGGCAUCAGUGCUGGGGUGAACACAGAGUUCCACUCUAAUCCCGCCCCCCCGCCGUGCACGUAAGAACACCCAUGCGUGAAUGUGGUAUGUUUUACUCCAAUAAUCAAAUUCCUUAUCUAUUUCUAAGAAGACAUGUAACGUAUUAACUUCUUUAUAUUUUUUUUCUUUAUAUUUUUUUCUUGAUAACUUGUACCCUUUUAAAAGCUUUUUUUUUUUAAUGUCCUUUUUUUCUUUAAAUAAAAAAAUAAAAAAUUCCUCAUCUA